CAGAGGGUGCAAGCGUUAAUCGGAAUUACUGGGCGUAAAGCGUGCGUAGACGGUUGCGUAAGUCAGAUGUGAAAGCCCCGGGCUCAACCUGGGAAUUGCAUUUGAGACUGCGUAGCUAGGGUGCGGAAGAGGGAAGCGGAAUUUCCGGUGUAGCGGUGAAAUGCGUAGAUAUCGGAAGGAACACCAGUGGCGAAAGCGGCUUCCUGGUCCAGCACCGACGUUCAGGCACGAAAGCGUGGGGAGCAAACAGGAUUAGAUACCCUGGUAGUCCACGCCAUAAACGAUGAGGACUAGACGUUGAGAGGGUAAGCCUCCCAGUGUCGCAGCUAACGCGAUAAGUCCUCCGCCUGGGGAGUACGGCCGCAAGGUUG
This 371-nucleotide ribosomal RNA is filed under the name uncultured organism. Its description in RNAcentral is "bacterial SSU rRNA". It matches the Rfam family "Bacterial small subunit ribosomal RNA", at positions 526 to 896 of the family's 1533-position model. The record is from RNAcentral.